GCUCCUUGAGGUGGACGCGUUGAAGACAUCGUGCAACCCGUAACAUCGCCGAAGCACUCGCCGGCGGUUCUUCGUCGGCACCUACCAGCAACAUCGAGCAACGGUGCAGCCAAUGUUGUGACGGAAGCAAACGAUGCCCUACCUCUGAGCCGACGCCUUGCCGGGUCCGCCUUUCCCUCGUCACAGCAGGAGCAUCCGGUUCGACGGCCGGCUUCCCAUCACCGAGAGACCACCUUGUGCCACAAAGUGCCUCUAAACUAUCGCUAAUGGUGUAGGCGAAUUAGUAUGCACACUAUGCCUCAUGUGCACGUACAUGGGCCAUGCAUGUACGUGGAUGUUGGCUGGAUGGCAACGUACGCGUUCAUUAGAUUCACAAAAAGAAAUGCAUGGAAGAAGCUACACAUGAGCUAUCACCCGAAGACGAAGCCAAUGAAGCUGUUCGACACCAUCUACUAAGUCAUGCUCGGUGUCGCCAAAGAUGGAAACGCGCAGCACCCCACCUCCUGCUUGUCCACCCCGUCUUACUGUAGAGCUCUGAAGAUGAACAUGUGAGCACGGCGACGUCCACUCCGCGCCCGGACGCGAAGUGAAGGCUGAGGUCCUACACCACGAUGCCAUGAUUCAGAUAGCCUCCUACCCCCGUGUCGCUGCUACCGGCGCCACACUCAUUCGGAGGCCGAAGCCGAGCAAGUCGGCGCCGCCCGAGGACAAGGUGCGGCCGCAGGGUGACGUGACUUCAACAACAACACCGUUCCUCUACGAUCUCGUGAGACGAUGCCUUGACUACGCCGACUGCCGUGGACUCGACGUCUGACCGGGAUGAGGUGUCGACCACUCAGGCCAUGCUGGCGCGAGCAACGCGACGGUCAUACACCGACGCCGGUCUCCAUCGACAAUUACUCCCGCAGGGUUUAGACCCUUGUACACCCCGAGAAGCUACUGGUCGUCGAGAAGUCCGAGCCGAGCGUGAUCCAUGCUACCCCAACAACAACGCCUCCAACGCCGCCAAGACCGACGAGGCACGACGGCAAGGGCGAGCGUGGCCACCGCAAAGGCUACGCUACACGCGGCGCGUGUACCGACGAGGACACGGGCUCUGCCGCCGCCCACACACACACAUCACCAUCAUCAUGCAUGGAGAACGCGAAGCGAAGACGACGAAGACGACCACACAGCUCAAUCGGAGGUAUCCCGCGGAGCAACCCGAGGGAGUAAUUAAUCGGGAGUCUUCCGAGGCCCCGAGAACCAGGAGAUCACACAAUCGCCACAGCCAGCUUGGCCGUGCUAGUAGGCUACGGAGCGCACCUUUUUUUUAUGGGAUAUUGUAAUUUUAUUUCUCCGAUGAGAUUAAUGAAAUACAUGUUCCCGUAUCUCCUUUUCUUUGUGUACUAUAGUACACUGGCACGCCCGCAUACGCAGUUUUCUUUCCCCGGCGUCUGAGAGAAACACACUCCCUUCUUCCCUUCUCCCCGGAGUUCCUAGAUGUUUUUCUCGUGUCAAACAGCCAUCAUGCAACACCACCACCAGUUGG
RNAcentral lists this long non-coding RNA (1531 nucleotides) under Triticum aestivum (bread wheat). RNAcentral's name for it is "long non-coding RNA (TAES_LNC016777)". The record is from RNAcentral. Lineage: Eukaryota; Viridiplantae; Streptophyta; Magnoliopsida; Poales; Poaceae.